This 420-nucleotide ribosomal RNA is filed under the name Ypthima sp. MY-2014. RNAcentral describes it as "partial 28S ribosomal RNA". Lineage: Eukaryota; Metazoa; Arthropoda; Insecta; Lepidoptera; Nymphalidae. The record is from RNAcentral.
AAACUCGAAUGAACGAACGGAGAGAUUCAUCGACAUCCAUCGCAAGGCGUACGUACGCGUGCCUCGAUGUCGUGCGGCACGCUCCUCGCGGGCGCUCCGAGCGGUACAGCACGCGUCCGUCACGUCCUAUGGCGUCGUGCACUUCUCUCUUAGUAAUGCAUCGCGACCCGUUCCCUAUUAAAGCGUCGGCUUAAGCGUCGUCCGAUUCGCCCAGCGGCCUCGGCCGCUGGACCGCGACGAUCGCCGGCCGACCGGGGACGGUAUCGGUAUGAAACGCGCACGCGCCUCGCGCGCGUCCGGCCCGACGCAAGUUUUCGUGCGCCGUUUCGCUGUCCUGCCCGAGUGCGGACAGUGAACCGGCGCCGCUGUCGUCGCAGCCGUGCUGUCUCGGACGGUGCGCGUCUCAGUCUGCGAUGGGUC